AAAGGGGAAUAGGAUUCCCUCAAGUUUCUCCGACUUGUUGACUAGUCAAGUCUCGAAGAAACUUGCGGAAGAAAAGGUGGAGGUUUCUAUGAUUUUGAAAAUUUGGCCUCCGAAAUCAACCCUCCUUUUCCUUCAACCAUCUAUAGGCGGCGGCGAUAUGACAUACACGGCCUGUACGUCCCAAACACAAAAAAAGGUUAUGCUCUUUACGUUAAGCUCUCGGGUUUGGAGACAUCCUGGAGGAGUGAUGAAGACUUUACGGAUAUUGUAGCACAUCGGCCUUAUCGUGAGGUUUCCAUCUCUAAGAUUAAUUAAGGAGUCUCUCACUCUACUUGAAUACUAUCAUGACGCCGCCUGGAAAAAAGUUUACGGUGUAUGGAUCAUGGAAGGUGUUUCAAAAUCGUUUACAAAGCUAUUCACCAUCAACAUACCAGAUACAUCGUUGUACACUCAGGUUCUAGGAUUUAGGAAGAAUGGCCAACCUAUUAUGGAAACAUCGAGACUCUUGGGAUAAAUGGUGAACCUUGUUCGUUCUCUUUAAGCUCAUACACGGAAACUUUACUUUUGCUGGAUCAGUUGGAUGGGCAAUUUGUAAAGUGCCAAUUGCAGUUAUAGCCUUUACGUCGUCAUGUAUCAGCUCAUGAGCUCAAGUCAUUAGAAAGAUUCAAACGACCAUGGAGUAUGCAAGGUUAGUUCUGUUACCGGAAUCAGUUUCUGUAGAGGGGAUAUCGAACACAAAAGAACUAUUGGUGGCAGAGAAAAACAAAGGAUGAAAAGGAGCAUAAGAGUUUUCACUGUUUAUGAUUGAAGCAUAAUGAAUGCUGUUUAUGUUAUAUCGGAACAGAAUGUUAUUGUUACUUUGGCGCGUUCCUAUCAUUAUCAUAUGUCAGUCAAUUUAAAUUGUGGAACUAGGUUAAAAAUAAAUUCUAGUUGUGAAUUUGAUCA
Erigeron canadensis is the source of this 945-nucleotide long non-coding RNA. RefSeq lists it as uncharacterized. The transcript has 4 exons. NCBI's taxonomy places the organism in Eukaryota, Viridiplantae, Streptophyta, Magnoliopsida, Asterales, Asteraceae. The record is from RefSeq and is a predicted model, not a curated record.